RNAcentral lists this ribosomal RNA (373 nucleotides) under uncultured bacterium. Its description in RNAcentral is "bacterial SSU rRNA". It matches the Rfam family "Bacterial small subunit ribosomal RNA", at positions 525 to 896 of the family's 1533-position model. The record is from RNAcentral.
ACAGAGGGGGCAAGCGUUGUUCGGAAUUACUGGGCGUAAAGGGCGCGUAGGCGGCCCACUAAGUCAGACGUGAAAUCCCACGGCUCAACCGUGGAACUGCGUCUGAGACUGGAGGGCUUGAAUUCGGGAGAGGGAUGCGGAAUUCCAGGUGUAGCGGUGAAAUGCGUAGAUAUCUGGAGGAACACCGGUGGCGAAGGCGGCAUCCUGGACCGACAUUGACGCUGAGGCGCGAAAGCCAGGGGAGCAAACGGGAUUAGAUACCCCGGUAGUCCUGGCCCUAAACGAUGAAUGCUUGGUGUGGCGGGUAUCGAUCCCUGCCGUGCCGAAGCUAACGCAUUAAGCAUUCCGCCUGGGGAGUACGGUCGCAAGGCUG